This 502-nucleotide ribosomal RNA is filed under the name uncultured bacterium. Its description in RNAcentral is "partial 16S ribosomal RNA". It matches the Rfam family "Bacterial small subunit ribosomal RNA", at positions 28 to 523 of the family's 1533-position model. The record is from RNAcentral.
GAUGAACGCUAGCGGCAGGCUUAAUACAUGCAAGUCGAGGGGCAGCGCAGUGUAGCAAUACAUGGGCGGCGACCGGCAAACGGGUGCGGAACACGUACGCAACCUUCCUUUAAGUGGGGGAUAGCCCAGGGAAACUUGGAUUAAUACCCCGUAAUAUUAUGAAGUGGCAUCACUUUAUACUUAUAGCUCCGGCGCUUAAAGAUGGGCGUGCGACUGAUUAGGUAGUUGGCGGGGUAACGGCCCACCAAGCCUGCGAUCAGUAACUGGUGUGAGAGCACGGCCAGUCGCACGGGCACUGAGACAAGGGCCCGACUCCUACGGGAGGCAGCAGUAAGGAAUAUUGGUCAAUGGACGCAAGUCUGAACCAGCCAUGCCGCGUGGAGGAUGAAGGUCCUCUGGAUUGUAAACUUCUUUUAUUUGGGAAGAAACCCACUGUUUCUACGGUGGUUGACGGUACCAGAUGAAUAAGCACCGGCUAACUCCGUGCCAGCCGCCGCAGUAA